This 442-nucleotide ribosomal RNA is filed under the name uncultured Bacillota bacterium. RNAcentral's name for it is "bacterial SSU rRNA". It matches the Rfam family "Bacterial small subunit ribosomal RNA", at positions 917 to 1359 of the family's 1533-position model. Lineage: Bacteria; Bacillati; Bacillota. The record is from RNAcentral.
GGGCCCGCACAAGCAGCGGAGCAUGUGGUUUAAUUCGAUGCAACGCGAAGAACCUUACCAGGUCUUGACAUCCAGUAAAAGCCAAAGAGAUUUGGUGUGUUUUCGGACAUACUGAGACAGGUGGUGCAUGGUUGUCGUCAGCUCGUGUCGUGAGAUGUUGGGUUAAGUCCCGCAACGAGCGCAACCCUUGUUUUUAGUUACUAACGCGUAGAGGCGAGGACUCUAGAGAGACUGCCGGGGACAACUCGGAGGAAGGUGGGGACGACGUCAAAUCAUCAUGCCCUUUAUGACCUGGGCUACACACGUGCUACAAUGGCCACUACAGAGAGGAGCGAAGCCGAGAGGUGGAGCGGAUCUCAAAAAGUGGUCCCAGUUCGGAUUGUGGGCUGCAACCCGCCCACAUGAAGUCGGAGUUGCUAGUAAUCGCGAAUCAAGCAUGUCG